GGGUGUGAGGGAGACCUGGCUUCAACACCUGUCACAGCACUGAUUGCCAGCAUUGAUUUAGCUGACCUGGCUGGUGUGCUGGAUGUCGACUUCUCCCCCCAGUGCUCCAUGUGUGUCCCUCCCAAAGCUGCAUGCUUGGUCAAAGAGGGCAACCAGUCCAGACAGAGGAGGGCUGUUUUCUGGGUCACAGGGACACGAGCAGCUGGUCUCCCCUACUAGAACCUCCAAACAAGCUCUCAAGUCUUUUGUACUCUUUCCCAGCUUCCUAUGGUCUUUUAUUUCAUGCUUUGUGUAUUUUGGGUUUUCAACCCUGCAAUAUUUAGGCACCCAUAUAUGAUUCACUUCAUUCAUCAUGAUGGACCGAAGAUGCAUCUGUUU
Molecule: unclassified non-coding RNA, 378 nt
Organism: Cavia porcellus (domestic guinea pig)
Lineage: Eukaryota; Metazoa; Chordata; Mammalia; Rodentia; Caviidae
Gene: 7SK
Rfam family: 7SK RNA
About the family: 7SK was discovered as an abundant small nuclear RNA in the mid-70s but a possible function has only recently been suggested. Two independent studies have found that 7SK RNA binds the CDK9/cyclin T complex (known as elongation factor P-TEFb).
Source: Ensembl